RNAcentral lists this ribosomal RNA (253 nucleotides) under uncultured bacterium. Its description in RNAcentral is "partial 16S ribosomal RNA". It matches the Rfam family "Bacterial small subunit ribosomal RNA", at positions 524 to 776 of the family's 1533-position model. The record is from RNAcentral.
UACGGAGGGGGCUAGCGUUGUUCGGAAUUACUGGGCGUAAAGCGCACGUAGGCGGCUUUGUAAGUUAGAGGUGAAAGCCCGGGGCUCAACUCCGGAAUUGCCUUUAAGACUGCAUCGCUAGAAUUGUGGAGAGGUAAGUGGAAUUUCCGGUGUAGCGGUGAAAUGCGUAGAUAUCGGAAGGAACAUCAGUGGCGAAAGCGACUUCCUGGACCAAUACUGACGCUCAUGUGCGAAAGCGUGGGGAGCAAACAGG